CUUGUUCUACAUGGUCAAGCUUGAGGGGGAGUGUUGAGAUGAGGUGAUAAGGAGUGGAUACAUUGAUAGAGGAAGAGUAUUGGGGCAGUUAGUAACUUUGGGGAUUUACCACAGUAACUUUAGUUUUACUGUGGUAACUAAGUUAAAACAUUGGGAAGUUACCUUUCACCCAUUUGGAGAGUGGAUCACGCCUAAGGAGAGUUUGGAUAAGGAAGGAGCAGUCUGGAUAAGGUCUGGUCAUAGCUGGAAAGGAAAACACCUUUACAGCCUGUCCAAGCAUGUGAGAACACCCAUUGGCUGCUUUUGGAUGGCUCUCCUUGACUCCACACGUUCUGGAUCCCCUCUGACCCUAUGAUUUCGAAUUGUAUCAUGUAUUACUCAUAUAAAGCCUUGUAAACCUGAUUGAUAAUAAUUAAUGGAGUUUUGAGUCUCUCUCUCUCUAGAAUCUCUCUAUUCUCUAAAUUCUACUCUAAUCUUCUCUGAUUAUUAUUAAACACACUCUAAAACACAAAAGUGUUUAUGGUAUCAGAGCCAGGUUGCUCAAAAGGGGAUGAGUGUGUGAUUUCUAUUUCGCAAAUCUGUGUUCUUUCUUGAGUGUUCUUGAGUGUUCUUGAGUGUUCUUGAGUGUUCUUGGUGUUCUUGAGUUCUGAUCUUUAUUAUCUGAGUGGUGUGAGAUAUUCUGAUGGAUUCAAACUAUCUCAACAUGGAAAUGAAGCACAGAUCUAGUAGUACAACCAUGGACCUUGAAGAAGAGAGGGAUGGCGAUUGGUCAAGAUGGGCAAAGAGAGCUUUGGAAAGCUGUGGGUUAUGGUGUGGUCAUGUAAAGGGGAAGCCUUUAGUGGAAAUGGCUACUGAAGAAAGGUCCAAACUUGUGAAGGUCAGUGGAGACAAGAGAGUGAUCCGUGGCUUGAGACAAGGAAAGGAUGAGUUGUAUCAGCUUGUGGGAAGGCUGAGGGAAGGAUGGAUGGAGCUGGAUAUGCUGAGACCAAGCACAGCUGAUCCGAGAGUUAUUAAAGAAAGAAGGAAACAAGGUGUGUUCUUUAGCUUUCUUGUGAAGGAGAUAUGGGUUCUUACUCUUCAAGCGUGUGAGUUGUGGGAAGAGAACAAGAGAUCAAACCUGUGGAAAGGUGGUACAAGAUGUAAGAAGGGAAGGCUGAGAAAGCUUUCUAGAGUGUGGCUUAAGAUGGGAAAGGCUUGGAAGAAGAACAUGGAGUCUGGUUAUCUAAGUGAUAAGAUGAGCUUGAAGAUGAUCAAGGAGGUGGCUCAACAAGUGGUAAGAGGAGAAUGUUCUUACUCUGCCUAUAUAAGUAACUCAGUGGAGGAUAGUAUGGUUAUGAAGGAGCAGGAGAUCAAAGGAGCAGAUGACCCUAUCACAAAGAAAGAAUGGGAUGGGUUUGUCAAGUAUGUGUAUGCUUUGGCUACGACCCGGAGACAAGGUGCUCCUGCCUUAGCAUCCACAUCCAAACCCAUUAUCAUUGAUUCUGGAGCAACACAUCAUAUGAUCAGUGAUAGAAGUCUGAUAAGUGAAGUCAAGGCUGCAACAGGGAGUGUCAUGAUAGCUAAUGGUGCUAGGAUCCCAAUAGAAGGAGUGGGAAACCUCAAGCUGUUUGAGAAGAACUCACCUGCAUUCUAUUUGCCUCAAUUCACCUCAAAUCUGAUAUCAGUGAAGAAGGCCACAGUUGAUCUUGAUUGUCAAGUAGUAUUCAGGCCAAAUGAGGUUGAGUUUCAAGACUUGAAGACUGGGAGAGUUAUUGGUAGAGGGGACAGCAGGAAUCAGUUAUAUCAUCUCCAAACAGCUAAGAACUCAGCAGGAAUCAGUUAUAUCAUCUCCAAACAGCUAAGAACUCUAAUCCUAUUGAUUCUAUAUGCUUGAGUAGUACUGCUGAUAGGUGUGACAGUAUUACUUGGCAUGCUAGAUUAGGACAUCCUCAUGCUCGUGCAAUUGAAUUGAUUAAACCUAAUAUGUCAUUCAAUCACUUGGAAUGUGAAGCUUGCAUCUUAGGGAAGCAUUGUAGAACUGUUUUUCCCACAUCAGAGACCAUAUAUGCAAAUUGCUUUGAUCUUGUUCAUUCUGAUGUGUGGACAGCCCCUUGUAUGUCUAGAGAAAACCAGAAGUACUUUGUGACAUUCAUAGAUGAGAAGUCUAAGUAUACAUGGAUCACAUUGCUGCCAUCUAAGGAUAGAGUGUUUGAAGCCUUUGUCAACUUCCAAGCAUAUGUAACUAACCAUUACAAUGCUACUGUGAAGGUACUACGGUCUGAUAAUGGAGGAGAAUACACCAGUCAUGCCUUCAAGAAUCAUUUGGCUAAACAUGGGAUAGUGCAUCAGACCAGUUGUCCUUACACACCACAGCAGAAUGGGGUAGCUGAGAGGAAGAAUAGGCAUCUGAUGGAGGUGGCUAGAUCCAUGAUGUAUCAUGCUAGUGUUCCAAAGAGGUUUUGGGGUGAUGCUGUUCAGACUGCAUGCUAUCUUAUCAAUCGGAUUCCAACUAAGGUAUUGAAGAAUCUGUCUCCGUUUGAAGUGCUGAACAAGAGCAAGCCACACAUAGAUCAUCUGCGUGUCUUUGGAUGUCUAUGUUAUGUCUGGGUUCCAGGAGAACAGAGAAACAAGUUGGAGGCAAAGAGCACUAAAGCAAUGCUCAUUGGGUACUCAGUAACUCAGAAGGGGUACAAGUGCUAUGAUACAGCAACCAGGAGAGUGUUGGUGUCUAGAGAUGUUAAGUUCAUAGAGACCAAGGGGUAUUAUGAAGAAAAGAAUUGGGAAGACUUGGAAGAUCUGUCUCAAGAACCAAGAAUGAAGAAAAGAAUUGGAAGGGGUAUUAUGAAGAAAAGAAUUGGGAAGACUUGGAAGAUCUGUCUCAAGAACCAAGAAACAUGGCAGAGAAUCUGAGGAACAUAUUGGAAAGGCUUGGGGUAAACAUGUCCCAGGAUAAGGUUAGAGAACCUGAAAGAACAACUCCCCUUGAUCAUGAGGGGGGGAAUGAGUCUGAAUCAGGAGUGCAAGAGCAGCACCAAGGGGAUUCAGGUCAUCAUGAUCAAGUGGUGACACAAGAAGUAGAGAAUUUUCCUCAGGUCAGUGUGGAUGAGCAAGGAGAGGUUCAUGAUCAAGAGGAGGUGAGUGAGGCAGGAACAGAGGUUCAAGCAGAGGUUCAAACUGAGGAACAGGUUCAACCAUUAAGGAGGAGCACACGGAUAAAGAGGGAUGCUUCCAACUGGGUAAACACGAGAGUGUACUACAAUGCCCAGGCUGUGGAGCAUCCUUCUCAAGCUGUGUGUUCCUUUGCAGAAUAUCCAGAAGAGCACAUGGUGUUUAUGUGUAACUUGGAUGAGAAUGAGAUACCAAGAUCUUAUGAAGAAGCUAUGAGGCACAAGGUUUGGAGAGAUUCAGUAGGAGAUGAAAGGGAUGCAAUGAUCAGGAAUGACACUUGGUAUGAGAGUGAGUUACCUAAAGGGAAGAAGGCAGUUUCAAGCAGAUGGAUCUUCACCAUCAAGUAUCUUGCAAAUGGGGAGAUAGAUAGGCGCAAGACCAGGCUGGUUGCAAGAGGAUUUACACAGACUUAUGGGGAAGAUUACAUUGACACUUUUGCACCAGUGGCCAAGCUUCACACAAUUCGAAUUGUGUUAUCCAUUGCAACAAACUUGGAGUGGGAUUUGUGGCAAAUGGAUGUGAAGAAUGCUUUCUUGCAAGGUGAACUUGAAGAUGAAGUAUACAUGCAUCCACCUCCUGGUCUUGAGCAUCUAGUAAAGCCAGGGAAUGUUUUGAGAUUGAAGAAGGCAAUAUAUGGGUUGAAACAGUCACCUAGAGCUUGGAACAGGAAGUUGAGUACAACACUCAAUGGGAGAGGCUUUAGGAAGUCUGAACUAGAUCACACUCUCUUCACCUUGACAGGACCUUCUGGGAGCAUUGUGAUUCUAGUGUAUGUGGAUGAUUUGAUUAUCACAGGAAGUGAUAAGGCAGGGAUUCAAGCUACUAAGGAGUUUCUCAAAUCUGUGUUUGACAUCAAGGAUUUGGGAGAGAUGAAGUAUUUUCUAGGCAUUGAGAUAUGCAGAUCAAAGGAGGGUUUGUUUAUGUCUCAAAGGAAGUAUACUAUGGAUAUGUUGAAGGAGACUGAUGUGCUUGGAGGAAAGAUAGCUAAGACACCCCUUGAGGAGGGAUAUAAGGUUCUGCGUGAGGGGGAGGUUGAAGAGAAGCAGUUGUUUGAGGAUCCUAAGCUAUACAGGAAGAUGGUUGGCAAGCUGAUCUACUUGACCACCACACGGCCAGAUAUAUGUUUUGCUGUGAACCAAGUGAGUCAACAUAUGCAGGCGCCAAAGGUACAUCACUGGAAGAUGGUUGAUAGGAUACUGAGGUAUUUGAGUGGCACGCCUGGUCAAGGAGUUUGGAUGGGAUGCAAUGGCAGCACAGAAGUAGUGGGCUAUUGUGAUGCUGAUUGGGCAGGAGAUAGAGUGGACAGGAGAUCAACUACUGGCUAUUGUACAUUCAUUGGAGGGAACCUGGUUACUUGGAAGAGUAUUGUACAUUCAUUGGAGGGAACCUGGUUACUUGGAAGAGUAAGAAGCAGAAGGUCAUCUCCUGUUCAAGUGCAGAGGCUGAGUAUAGAGCUAUGUUGAAGCUGACAAUUGUUCAAGUGCUGAGGCUGAAUAUAGGGCUAUGUUGAAGUUGACAAACGAGUUGGUGUGGAUCAAGGGUAUCUUGAAGCAUCUGGAGAUUGAGCAGAGUACUCCUAUGACAAUGCACUGUGACAAUCAAGCAGCUAUCCAUAUUGCUUCUAACUCAGUCUUUCAUGAGAGAACGAAGCACAUAGAAGUGGAUUGUCACAAGGUGAGGCAGAUGAUUAUCUUAGGAGUGAUUCUGCCAUGUUAUACAAGGAGUGAGGAUCAACUGGCUGAUGUGUUUACUAAGGCAGCGAGAUUAAAGACAAUGGAGUCCAUACUUUCUAGGCUUAGGCUCAUUGAUCUUACUCCCAGGAGCUGAUCCCCUUACCCAUGGAGUCUCCACUCUUUUUCCCUCAUCAAGGUUUUAUCCCAAUGGGUUUUCCUUGGUGAGGUUUUUAAUGAGGGAGAUCUUCAUGGUUUCCAAGCUUGACUUGUUCUACAUGGUCAAGCUUGAGGGGGAGUGUUGAGAUGAGGUGAUAAGGAGUGGAUACAUUGAUAGAGGAAGAGUAUUGGGGCAGUUAGUAACUUUGGGGAUUUACCACAGUAACUUUAGUUUUACUGUGGUAACUAAGUUAAAACAUUGGGAAGUUACCUUUCACCCAUUUGGAGAGUGGAUCACGCCUAAGGAGAGUUUGGAUAAGGAAGGAGCAGUCUGGAUAAGGUCUGGUCAUAGCUGGAAAGGAAAACACCUUUACAGCCUGUCCAAGCAUGUGAGAACACCCAUU
RNAcentral lists this long non-coding RNA (5380 nucleotides) under Brassica napus (rape). RNAcentral describes it as "long non-coding RNA (BNAP_LNC015242)". The record is from RNAcentral. Lineage: Eukaryota; Viridiplantae; Streptophyta; Magnoliopsida; Brassicales; Brassicaceae.